UACAGAGGGUGCAAGCGUUGUUCGGAAUUAUUGGGCGUAAAGCGCGUGUAGGCGGCUUUGCAAGUCGGGUGUGAAAGCCCUCGGCUCAACCGAGGAAGUGCGCCCGAAACUGCAGAGCUUGAGUGCCGGAGAGGAUGGCGGAAUUCCCCAAGUAGAGGUGAAAUUCGUAGAUAUGGGGAGGAACACCGGUGGCGAAGGCGACAUCCUGGACCGGUAUUGACGCUGAGGCGCGAAAGCCAGGGGAGCAAACGGG
Molecule: ribosomal RNA, 253 nt
Filed under: uncultured bacterium
Lineage: Bacteria
Description: partial 16S ribosomal RNA
Rfam family: Bacterial small subunit ribosomal RNA
Source: RNAcentral